UUUCCGUAGGUGAACCUGCGGAAGGAUCAUUAUUGAAUGAAACACUUCUGACUUUAUGCUGUUGUGCUGGCCCUUUGGGCAAUGUGCACACGGCUCUGGUCACUUGUUUCUUCUGUUCCACCUGUGCACUGCCUGUAGACACGCUGUGUCUAUGAUAUUUGUUAACACACAACAAUGUUAGUUGGCAUGUUAUAUAUAAUAAUAAAAUAUACAACUUUCAACAACGGAUCUCUUGGCUCUC
This 241-nucleotide unclassified non-coding RNA is filed under the name plant metagenome. RNAcentral's name for it is "partial contains small subunit ribosomal RNA, internal transcribed spacer 1, and 5.8S ribosomal RNA". The record is from RNAcentral.